AGUCGAAAGCCCUCUUUGCUGCUCUCCUGUGGAACAUUUGGAAGACCUGCAAUUCUGCGGUUUUCAAAGGAACAAAGCCUGACCCUAUCCGCACCAAGAGGAAGCUCGUACAUCAACAGAUCUAUUCAUGAAAUGGAAAGCUAAGGGGAAAAAUCGACCAAACUGAAAACAAGAAGAUCAAAAUAGUUGCGCAAAAUGGAAGCCACUUGACCUAAACUCGCUGAAGGAAAAUGUUGACGCCUCAUGGUGCAGUUCGACAUAGGAAGGAUCGGUUGCGGGUGUUUGCCGGAAUGCUGCUGGCCUCCUUGUCAUCGACUUUACAAAGCAAAUCUCGGCUCCGUCCGCUUCGAUCACAGAAACCCUAGCCGAGAGAGCAGCUUUGAUGUGGGCGAAGGAGAACCGAGAAGCCAG
This 411-nucleotide long non-coding RNA is filed under the name Eucalyptus grandis. RNAcentral's name for it is "long non-coding RNA (EGRA_LNC000685)". The record is from RNAcentral. Lineage: Eukaryota; Viridiplantae; Streptophyta; Magnoliopsida; Myrtales; Myrtaceae.